UUGCGGACUAGAGCCCAUGGAUUUUGUUUUCUAAUGAGUUAUAUCAUGGGUGCAAGCAAAUUAAAUCAUAUAAACAUGGCUCACACUGAAGCAUAUUGCAGCUUCAAAACUUUCUUCAAUAGCAAUGCAAUAUCUAUGUCACAUUAGUAUGAACAAUUGGUUCAGCCUCAAAGAGUAUACUGAGUGAGCAAACAGCAAAACAUACUUCUACUUUUCUAAACAGUAGCUCAUCCCAAAAGAUGGUAAUCUUCAUAGUCUCUGCCAUAAGAUCUUCAAAUCUUGUGUAUGGAAAUAUGUAUUGAAGGUGACAUUUCAACGAUAAAUUCACUACAAAUCAAUAAAAAAAUUCUAUGCCUUGAUGAUCUAUAUGAAGCAGCUCACAUUCUGUGAUGGGUAUCAACUACACUUCUCAUAUCCACAUCACAUAAAAUCAACACUCAAAGCACAAAAAAGCAUAUAUACAAAAAUUCUGUCUUAUGGGUUUUAAGUGAUGUUUAUCAGUGUCUUGACUUACACCAAGAAGGUCAUAAUUAUAUGUCCUAUUAGGAUGUAAAACUGGUAUGCAAAAUUACUGAAAUAUAAAAAGUAUGUUGUGCGUUCAAGUUCUAAGGUCUCCGAUUUUUUUUCU
Cryptotermes secundus is the source of this 628-nucleotide long non-coding RNA. RefSeq lists it as uncharacterized. The record is from RefSeq and is a predicted model, not a curated record. NCBI's taxonomy places the organism in Eukaryota, Metazoa, Arthropoda, Insecta, Blattodea, Kalotermitidae. The transcript is spliced from 3 exons.